UACGUAGGGCGCAAGCGUUGUCCGGAAUUAUUGGGCGUAAAGGGUAUGUAGGUGGUCUCAUUUGUCUGGGGUGAAAGCCUUGAGCUUAACUCAAGAAGUGCCCCAGAAACGGUGAGACUGGAGUCCUGGAGAGGGUCGUGGAAUUCCCGGUGUAGCGGUGAAAUGCGUAGAGAUCGGGAGGAACACCAGAGGCGAAAGCGGCGACCUGGACAGGCACUGACACUCAACUACGAAAGCGUGGGGAGCAAACAGG
Molecule: ribosomal RNA, 253 nt
Filed under: uncultured bacterium
Lineage: Bacteria
Description: partial 16S ribosomal RNA
Rfam family: Bacterial small subunit ribosomal RNA
Source: RNAcentral